Molecule: small RNA, 57 nt
Filed under: uncultured Ferdinandcohnia sp.
Lineage: Bacteria; Bacillati; Bacillota; Bacilli; Caryophanales; Bacillaceae
Description: Bacillaceae-1 RNA
Rfam family: Bacillaceae-1 RNA
Source: RNAcentral
UCGUCUACUAAGUGCUGCCACGUCCUGUGGCAAACGUAGACGUCAGCACUUCCUGUG